UGCAAGUCGAACGGUAACAGGAAGCAGCUUGCUGCUUUGCUGACGAGUGGCGGACGGGUGAGUAAUGUCUGGGAAACUGCCUGAUGGAGGGGGAUAACUACUGGAAACGGUAGCUAAUACCGCAUAACGUCGCAAGACCAAAGAGGGGGACCUUAGGGCCUCUUGCCAUCGGAUGUGCCCAGAUGGGAUUAGCUAGUAGGUGGGGUAAAGGCUCACCUAGGCGACGAUCCCUAGCUGGUCUGAGAGGAUGACCAGCCACACUGGAACUGAGACACGGUCCAG
This 282-nucleotide ribosomal RNA is filed under the name Escherichia coli. Its description in RNAcentral is "partial 16S ribosomal RNA". It matches the Rfam family "Bacterial small subunit ribosomal RNA", at positions 56 to 334 of the family's 1533-position model. The record is from RNAcentral. Lineage: Bacteria; Pseudomonadati; Pseudomonadota; Gammaproteobacteria; Enterobacterales; Enterobacteriaceae.